AUCAGCAAUGGGUAACUACACUGAGGUUUACUAUUGCCUUUUAGACACAAACUGUGUCUUUAACAUCAGAGCUUGAAUCAGGGAGGAUCUCCCAACACAUUUAACAACGGGCAGCUGUGACAUAGUGGAAAAGAGCAGAGUUUGGAGUCAGCUAGAUCUGAAUUCUAUUCCUACCAAGCCUUUGACAGUCUUUCUUCCAUAAUAGGGAAGGCAAACACUAAGGUUAGACAUGUAAGGUAAUUGAGUAAAAUUACCUACAUGAAAAAAAACAUUGGUGCAAGCCAGUGGUGUGCUGGAGUCAGCUCUAACUCCUGAGAGCUGAUUGUACAUUUCUCUCCCCAACUCUAUUCAGUGAAGUCACAUUGAUGACUUGAAAUUGGCCAUGGUGGAAGACACUUGUUUUCUAAACAUUUACCCAGUAUACCACUGUUGAAACACAAUGAUAAAUACACCUAAAACCCAGUCUCAAUGCCAGGAGACAAUAGAAAGUAGUGGGGACUGUAGCAAACUAUUUUUAAGGGGCACUCACUAUCUAGGACCAAGCCUUGACAUUCAAGUAAACAAGCCCACUUUUGUCAAUUGUCUGAUUUUUUGCCCCAAAAUCCAGGUUUUUCUGCAUAAUUUUCUUAAAAUUUUCUCAUUUCCUUUUAAAAUACCACACAGUUCAAACAAAGCAUGGCCUCAGUCAUCUUGUAGGCCAGUUAUUUAUCACAUCUACUUUAAAGCAGUUGUCUCCAAGGUAUUUGUUUACUUUUACACUAAAAAAAAGUGCUUGCGCACCUCUCUUUGCUCUUUGAGGCUACUGCUUUAGACUUAGUUCUUUACUUCUUCAAAUCACGGUCCCUUUUGAAAACAUUAAGUUAUAAAUGUUCUGCCUAGACAAAAGUACCUCAGUAUAUUAUGUUUCACACCCUACUAGGGUAGUCAUCCAUUUCUUGAAAUUAAUUCAUAGUCCCCUUAAGCAGCACCUGGGUUGCAAUUAGGGCAUCUGGAUGCUGGAUUCAAGGCUUUGUGUCAUCCCUGAGAGCUUCUCUGGGAUUUCAGCUCCUUUCCUUUAAACAAGUUGUUAGACCAGAUAGUCUCACCGUUCCCAUCUGUCCUAAACUUCUAAUUCUAAUGCAUAGCCUCCCCGGUUCCCCUCCUCAGAACACAAGCCAGCAUGACUGCUCACCAGGUUGUGGAUGCUCUCUUGAUGUUGCAGCCCCCGCCCCCUAGCCUUUUCUACCAACAAGUGGAAAGGGGCAGCUGGGACCUUUUGUCUUGUGCACAGAGAUGGGCAGUCAGUAGUGAGCCUAAUACCUCUGUAUCAGGUAAGGGGUACAGAAAGGCAAACUCUAGCCCUGGCAAGCCAACUGGAGGUAGGGGCCUCCCAGUCUUCCAGCAGGAGGACUGAGUGGAAGUGGCUUUUCCACUCUCCUCUGCAUUGUGCGGCAAGUCCACUGCAUUGUCUGAGGCACUCGCCCAUCCCCACAGGAUGCACUUUUAGGUACGGUAACCUUGCUGUUGAGGAUUGGAGGAAUUCUCUCUAUUCUCUCUGGUGAUGCUUAUCACUAAGACUUCUAGAACUUUCUAAUAAAUGGCAGCUGCUCAAACUAGUGCAAAAAGAUGGCCACUAAGAUAGAUGUACAUUAUUUAAAAAAAAACAAAUUGAAUCACUUGGUUUUUCUUGAUGAAAAUUGUGAAGUGUAGUUUCUAGUGAUUUUCCCCCAAAAUGCCAAAUCAGAAAUUAAGAAGCACUGUUUGUUCAGUGCACUUGGUCUGCUCAAAUGUCUUAAACAGUAUCCAUACCAACAAGACUAAUGGACUGAACAGAUAGUCCUAGGUAUAAUUACUUUGAACAAAGUGGAUUUUUUUUAAAAAA
Long non-coding RNA from Phyllostomus discolor (pale spear-nosed bat), 1861 nucleotides. RefSeq lists it as uncharacterized. NCBI's taxonomy places the organism in Eukaryota, Metazoa, Chordata, Mammalia, Chiroptera, Phyllostomidae. The record is from RefSeq and is a predicted model, not a curated record. The transcript has 2 exons.